CCUACGGGUGGCAGCAGUGGGGAAUAUUGCGCAAUGGGCGAACGCCUGACGCAGCGACGCCGCGUGAGGGAUGAAGGUCUUCGGAUCGUAAACCUCUGUCAGCAGGGACGAACGGUCACUGUGCUAAUCAGCAGUGAAUUGACGGUACCUGCAAAGGAAGCACCGGCUAACUCCGUGCCAGCAGCCGCGGUAAUACGGAGGUGGCGAGCGUUAAGCGGAAUUACUGGGCGUAAAGCGCUCGUAGGCGGUAUGUCAAGUCAAGGGGGAAAUCCCCGCGCUCAACGUGGGAACUGCCUUUGAAACUGGAAAACUGGAGUGUGUGAGAGGAUAGUGGAAGUCCAGGUGUAGGAGUGAAAUCCGUAGAUAUCUGGAGGAACAUCAGUGGCGAAGGCGACUAUCUGGCACAUAACUGACGCUGAGGAGCGAAAGCGUGGGUAGCAAACAGGAUUAGAUACCCGGGUAGUC
This 465-nucleotide ribosomal RNA is filed under the name uncultured bacterium. Its description in RNAcentral is "partial 16S ribosomal RNA". It matches the Rfam family "Bacterial small subunit ribosomal RNA", at positions 338 to 795 of the family's 1533-position model. The record is from RNAcentral.